CACACAGCAGAGGACUCCGAUGCGGAGCCGCGUUCAAGUCACCACAUCCGUGUCACUGUCACAUUCCUUUGGGUUCCACUUGGUGGAUCAGGGUCGCCACCGUGCGCCGCCCCAAAUUCUACCGUCAAAACGCGGACCAUAAUCGCAUCCAUAUCUGAUUCACAAACGCGGACGCGCUGUAAAAUCUAACGGACGUUGGUACAGUUUUUGUUGGGGCAGACACGACCGAACAGCGCUCUCCAUAUACAGGUGGAAUUACCUCUGGGUCGGACAGGGCUAGCCAGCUGUAAUCCACCCUGCUACGGUGAUGCCCGCCUGCCUCCCGGCUUUUACGACCAAGAAUCGGAGCGCUGAUGUGAUGUUUCCCCGUCGACUGAUGAGGGAAGUAAGAGAAGGCAGCCACGACACGCGAUUGUUCAACAUGACAGUGAGACAGAAAAAUAAUGUCAAGAUAAAUAAAAAAUCAUGAUGAGUGAAGUUCUUCGUCAGGUUGUGUUUUUUUCGGGUUCUUAUUUAAACGGUGUCUAGGCCAGGUCUGUGUUAUCUGUAGAAUUAAAUCUAA
Long non-coding RNA from Engraulis encrasicolus (European anchovy), 562 nucleotides. RefSeq lists it as uncharacterized. NCBI's taxonomy places the organism in Eukaryota, Metazoa, Chordata, Actinopteri, Clupeiformes, Engraulidae. The transcript is spliced from 3 exons. The record is from RefSeq and is a predicted model, not a curated record.